UACAGAGGGUGCGAGCGUUAAUCGGAUUUACUGGGCGUAAAGGGUGCGUAGGCGGUAGAGUGUGUGUGAUGUGAAAGCCCCGGGCUUAACCUGGGAAGUGCAUCGCAAACUGCUCAACUAGAGUACAAGAGAGGGUAGCGGAAUUUCCGGUGUAGCGGUGAAAUGCGUAGAUAUCGGAAGGAACGUCAAUGGCGAAGGCAGCUACCUGGCUUGAUACUGACGCUGAGGCACGAAAGCGUGGGGAGCGAAC
This 250-nucleotide ribosomal RNA is filed under the name uncultured bacterium. RNAcentral's name for it is "partial 16S ribosomal RNA". It matches the Rfam family "Bacterial small subunit ribosomal RNA", at positions 524 to 773 of the family's 1533-position model. The record is from RNAcentral.